CGGAAUCGGCAGCUACCAUGCAGUCGAGGGGCAGCGGGGAAAAGCUUGCUUUUUUGCCGGCGACCGGCGCACGGGUGCGGAACGCGUAUGGAACCUGCCCCUGUCAGGGGAAUAGCCCAGGGAAACUUGGAUUAAUGCCCCAUGGUACCGCGAUAUCGCAUGAUAUUGUGGUUAAAGAUUUAUCGGACAGGGAUGGCCAUGCGUACCAUUAGCUUGAUGGUGGGGUAACGGCCCACCAUGGCAACGAUGGUUAGGGGCCCUGAGAGGGGGAUCCCCCACACUGGUACUGAGACACGGACCAGACUCCUACGGGAGGCAGCAGUGAGGAAUAUUGGACAAUGGUCGGGAGACUGAUCCAGCCAUGCCGCGUGCAGGAUGACUGCCCUAUGGGUUGUAAACUGCUUUUAUACGGGAAGAAACGCACCUACGUGUAGGUGUCUGACGGUACCGUAAGAAUAAGGACCGGCUAACUCCGUGCCAGCAGCCGCGGUAAUACGGAGGGUCCGAGCGUUAUCCGGAAUCAUUGGGUUUAAAGGGUCCGUAGGCGGGCCGUUAAGUCAGGGGUGAAAGUCUGCGGCUCAACCGUAGAAUUGCCUUUGAUACUGGCGGUCUUGAGUCAUGGUGGGGUUGCCGGAACAUGUGGUGUAGCGGUGAAAUGCAUAGAUAUCACAUAGAACACCGAUCGCGAAGGCAGGUGACCAACCAUGUAC
This 710-nucleotide ribosomal RNA is filed under the name Allomuricauda sp. RNAcentral describes it as "bacterial SSU rRNA". It matches the Rfam family "Bacterial small subunit ribosomal RNA", at positions 40 to 740 of the family's 1533-position model. The record is from RNAcentral. Lineage: Bacteria; Pseudomonadati; Bacteroidota; Flavobacteriia; Flavobacteriales; Flavobacteriaceae.